This 743-nucleotide ribosomal RNA is filed under the name uncultured bacterium. Its description in RNAcentral is "bacterial SSU rRNA". It matches the Rfam family "Bacterial small subunit ribosomal RNA", at positions 94 to 829 of the family's 1533-position model. The record is from RNAcentral.
AGCGGCGAACGGGUGAGGAAUACAUGGGUAACCUACCCUCGAGUGGGGAAUAACUAGCCGAAAGGUUAGCUAAUACCGCGUACGCUCCUUGGACUUCGGUUCAGGGAGGAAAGCGAUACCGUGGGUAUCGCGCUCUUGGAUGGGCUCAUGUCCUAUCAGCUUGUUGGUGAGGUAACGGCUCACCAAGGCUUCGACGGGUAGCUGGUCUGAGAGGACGAUCAGCCACACUGGCACUGCGACACGGGCCAGACUCCUACGGGAGGCAGCAGUAAGGAAUAUUGCGCAAUGGGCGAAAGCCUGACGCAGCGACGCCGCGUGGGGGAUGAAGGUCUUCGGAUUGUAAACCCCUUUCGGGAGGGAAGAUGGAAUGGGGUAACCCAUUCGGACGGUACCUCCAGAAGCAGCCACGGCUAACUUCGUGCCAGCAGCCGCGGUAAUACGAAGGUGGCAAGCGUUGUUCGGAUUCACUGGGCGUACAGGGAGCGUAGGCGGUUCGGUAAGCCCUCUGUGAAAUCUCCAGGCUUAACCUGGAACAGUCGGAGGGGACUGCUGGGCUAGAGGACGGGAGAGGAGCGCGGAAUUCCCGGUGUAGCGGUGAAAUGCGUAGAGAUCGGGAGGAAGGCCGGUGGCGAAGGCGGCGCUCUGGAACGUUUCUGACGCUGAGGCUCGAAAGCGUGGGGAGCAAACAGGAUUAGAUACCCUGGUAGUCCACGCCUUAAACUAUGAAUACUAAGUGUCGGCGG